GUGCCAGCAGCCGCGGUAAAACGUAGGAGGCGAGCGUUAUCCGGAUUUACUGGGUGUAAAGCGCGUGUAGGCGGUCCUGCAAGUGGUGCGUGAAAGCGCCCGGCUCAACCGGGCGAGGACGUGGGCGAACUGCAGGGCUAGAGGCAGGUAGAGGCGUGUGGAAUUCCGGGUGUAGUGGUGAAAUGCGUAGAGAUCCGGAGGAACACCAGUGGCGAAGGCGACACGCUGGGCCUGGCCUGACGCUGAGAGGCGAAAGCAUGGGGAGCGAACGGGAUUAGAAACCCCGGUAGUCCAUGCCGUAAACGAUGCUGACUAGGUGUGGCGGGUAUGAACUCCUGCCGUGCCGGAGCCAACGUGGUAAGUCAGCCACCUGGGGACUACGGCCGCAAGGUUAAAACUCAAAUAAAUUGACGG
This 414-nucleotide ribosomal RNA is filed under the name uncultured bacterium. Its description in RNAcentral is "bacterial SSU rRNA". It matches the Rfam family "Bacterial small subunit ribosomal RNA", at positions 505 to 916 of the family's 1533-position model. The record is from RNAcentral.